RNAcentral lists this ribosomal RNA (268 nucleotides) under uncultured bacterium. RNAcentral describes it as "partial 16S ribosomal RNA". It matches the Rfam family "Bacterial small subunit ribosomal RNA", at positions 793 to 1055 of the family's 1533-position model. The record is from RNAcentral.
GUCCACGCCGUAAACGAUGAGUGCUAGAUGUCAGGAGCUUUGACCCUCUUGGUGUCGCAGCUAACGCGAUAAGCACUCCGCCUGGGGAGUACGGCCGCAAGGCUAAAAACUCAAAGGAAUUGACGGGGGCCCCGCACAAGCGGUGGAGCAUGUGGUUUAAUUCGACGCAACGCGCAGAACCUUACCUGGGCUAGAAAAUGCAAGAAUCCUGGUGAAAACUGGGAGUGCCUUUCGGGGAACUUGUAGUUAGGUGCUGCAUGGCUGUCGU